RNAcentral lists this long non-coding RNA (808 nucleotides) under Salvia miltiorrhiza (redroot sage). RNAcentral's name for it is "long non-coding RNA (SMIL_LNC002597)". The record is from RNAcentral. Lineage: Eukaryota; Viridiplantae; Streptophyta; Magnoliopsida; Lamiales; Lamiaceae.
ACGAAAUAUAGUGCGCCACCAAGAGUUCUGUCUUUUCAUGUAGCACAAAUCUGUGUGCACCAAAUCAAGAGGUUGAGCUCUUCUUGAGGGAGAGAAGCUCUUGAAUGCAACUCUGUGUUGUUUCCGGNGAUCUCUCACUUUUGGAAUGUGAACAAAAGCCCUGCAGCCAACACUCUCAAGUGUUUGUAAGACACGUCUUUCCCUGACCAAACUCUAUCUGGAAUGUCACACCCAGAGGAGUUGAUGGAGAAAGGUUGAUCAAGUCAACUGCGGUCUCAUAGCUUACCCCAAAAGGAUUUUGGCAGUUUGGAGUGCGACAGCAUGCAUUUGAUUCUCUCACAAAUUGUUCUGUUCCAUCCUUUCUGCCACGCCAUUAUGUUGAGGGGUCUUUGGGACGCUUUUCUCAAGCUUGAUACCAUGGUUCCUGCAGUGUUGCUCAAACGGGCCUUGGUACUCACCGCCGUUGUCUGCACGAACACACUUCAGUUUCCUUCCCGUUUGUCUCUCGACUUUUGCUUGAAAAUUCUUAAAGACCUCCAACGUUUGGUCUUUGGUUUUCAAAGCAAAACACCAGACUUUCCUCGAAAAAUCGUCAAUGAAAGUGACGAAAUAUAGUGCGCCACCAAGAGUUCUGUCUUUCAUGUAGCACAAAUACUGUGUGCACCAAAUACAAGAGGUUGAGCUCUUCUUGAGGGAGAGAAGCUCUUAAAUGCAACUCUGUGUUGUUUUCCGGCCAAACAAUCAACACAGGUUUCCAAGUGCAUUCCUUAACCUCAGGGAUGAGGCUUCUUCUAGCCAAGAUCUCCAG